Non-coding RNA from Triticum aestivum (bread wheat), 135 nucleotides. The record is from Rfam. Lineage: Eukaryota; Viridiplantae; Streptophyta; Magnoliopsida; Poales; Poaceae.
GACAUACUCCCUCCGUCCGAAAAUACUUGUCAUCAAAAUGGAUAAAAAGAGAUGUGUCUAGAACUAAAAUAUGUCUACAUACAUCCUCUUUUAUCCAUUUUGAUGACACGUAUUUCCGGACGAAGGGAGUAUGAG